Molecule: ribosomal RNA, 253 nt
Filed under: uncultured bacterium
Lineage: Bacteria
Description: partial 16S ribosomal RNA
Rfam family: Bacterial small subunit ribosomal RNA
Source: RNAcentral
UACUGGGGGUGCAAACGUUGCUCGGAAUCAUUGGGCGUAAAGCGCACGUAGGCGGUUCGUUAUGUCGGAUGUGAAAUCCCCGGGCUUAACCUGGGAACUGCAUUUGUGACUGGCGGACUCGAGUAUGGCAGAGGGGGGUAGAAUUCCACGUGUAGCAGUGAAAUGCGUAGAGAUGUGGAGGAAUACCGAUGGCGAAGGCAGCCCCCUGGGCCAAUACUGACGCUCAUGCACGAAAGCGUGGGGAGCAAACAGG